CUCUCUGUGAGUUGGUGUUGCCAUCUAGUGAGCAAAUGUUUAACUGCAAAUAUCUUCUCAGUAUCCAGUACGAUGUGAAGUACAGACCUACAGUAACAUGGGAACAUAAACAUUUAUUCAAACAAUCAUCAGAUCCAGAAAGCUUUAUAAAAAUAGCAAUACAACAUUUAAAAGUUUGUCGUUAUCAGUAGCUCAAUGACUCCAUCACAGACAGGAGAUCUUGCUGGUACAGGUUAAAAUGGACAUUUCAUCUGAUAAAGGGGAUAGAACAUAUGUCUUAUAGGAUCUCUAUGAUAAAGACCAUAUGGCCUUUGAAUGUUCAUAAUUAUAGGCCUACCCAAACAUGAACCGUGAACUGACAAAAUCAGAUAGGGAGCACUUGUCUUGGUGUUGGCAUUGCACACAUUGGGCAUAGAGGGCCUCCAUAGGCCCAUAACCACAAGAGCAUAGAAUACAAACAACACUGAUAAUAGUGCACAUUCCAAGUCAUUGUGGGUAAAAUAAGUUAUGAUAUAGCAACUCAAUCUGCCAUUGACUGUGUAGCAUUGGCAUACAGUGAAAGUCACUGGGGUCACUGGAGUGUGUCACUGGGGUCACUGGGGUUCAAACAAACAAAGCCUGGUCCCAGAUACAGAUCUGGGAUCAGGCUAACCAAAAAAGGCUUCACAGUAGGAAUCAAAACCCGUCUGUCCACUUGCAAUAGCAAGAAUCCCCUUAACCUGUUAGGGCUAGGGGGCAGUAUUUGCACGGCUGGAUAAAAAAAUGUACCCGAUUUAAUCUGGUUACUAAUCCUACCCAGUAACCAGAAUAUGCAUAUACUUAUUAUAUAUGGAUAGAAAACACCCUAAAGUUUCUAAAACUGUUUGAAUGGUGUCUGUGAGUAUAACAGAACUCAUUUGGCAGGCAAAACCCUGAGACAUUUUCUGACAGGAAGUGGAUACCUGAUGUGUUGUAUUACCUUUAAACCUAUGCCAUUGAAAAACACUGGGGCUGAGGAAUAUUUUGGCACUUCCUAUUGCUUCCACUAGAUGUCACCAGCCUUUACAAAGUGUUUUGAGUCUUCUGGAGGGAGAUCUGACCGAACAAGAGCCAUGGAACGAUGAUGGCGCAUUAGACACCUGGCGCGAGUUCAUGUUGGGUACCCUCGUUCCAAUACGUUAUAAAAGAGAAUGCAUUCGUCCACCUUGAAUAUUAUUCAUGUUCUGGUUAAAAAAGGCC
This 1218-nucleotide long non-coding RNA is filed under the name Salmo salar (Atlantic salmon). RNAcentral describes it as "lncRNA (ENSSSAG00000085282.1)". Lineage: Eukaryota; Metazoa; Chordata; Actinopteri; Salmoniformes; Salmonidae. The record is from RNAcentral.